This 313-nucleotide ribosomal RNA is filed under the name Enchenopa latipes. RNAcentral's name for it is "partial 12S small subunit ribosomal RNA". Lineage: Eukaryota; Metazoa; Arthropoda; Insecta; Hemiptera; Membracidae. The record is from RNAcentral.
UCAGAAUAGAAGUAGUUAUAUUCUUCAUAAUUCAAAGAAUUUGGCGGUUAAUAAUAAUUUCAGAGGAUCCUGUGUAUUAAUUGAUAAACCACGAUAGUUUUACCUUAUUUUUAUUUGUAUAUCUCUAUUUUUGGGAAUGUUUUUUAUGGAUUUAUUUUCUUUUUGAUUUUUUCUAUAAUUUUAGGUCAAGGUGCAGUUUUAAUUAGGAUUAUAUGGGUUACUUUAUUUUUAAUUUAUUGUUUUUAUAAUUUUUUUAAUUUUAUUUUGGAUAGGAUUUGAUAGUAAUUUAAAUUAAUUAAUUUUUAUGAAUAUU